UAUUUUGACUCUCAGCCAUGAAAGAUGAGGAACUCAACAUAUACACUAAUACUAUUUCCCUAUCAGCUUUAAUUGUUUCAUUGGAGGAGUUGGUCCGAAUAACCUCAGAAGCCAAUAUGGAACAUAGAAGUUGGUGAAUCGCCUCUGUGACAACCUUUAACAGUGUAUGUGUCAUCAGUCUCGGCAUCCAAACCGAAUUUUGGUUGAAGGAUCCAUCCUGUCUCUGUGGUGUGAUUACAACAAUUGGCCCUGUGAGCAGGACAUCAAGUUCUCCCCAUUUAUGGAUGUGAAACCAAAGGUCUAGAAAGAUCAAGGCAUCUCAACAAGAUC
This is a long non-coding RNA of Lagenorhynchus albirostris (white-beaked dolphin), 330 nucleotides long. RefSeq lists it as uncharacterized. The transcript has 4 exons. The record is from RefSeq and is a predicted model, not a curated record. NCBI's taxonomy places the organism in Eukaryota, Metazoa, Chordata, Mammalia, Artiodactyla, Delphinidae.